This 564-nucleotide ribosomal RNA is filed under the name Acinetobacter sp. HPC311. Its description in RNAcentral is "bacterial SSU rRNA". It matches the Rfam family "Bacterial small subunit ribosomal RNA", at positions 97 to 652 of the family's 1533-position model. Lineage: Bacteria; Pseudomonadati; Pseudomonadota; Gammaproteobacteria; Moraxellales; Moraxellaceae. The record is from RNAcentral.
GGCGGACGGGUGACGUAAUGCUUAGGAAUCUGCCUAUUAGUGGGGGACAACAUUCCGAAAGGGAUGCUAAUACCGCAUACGUCCUACGGGAGAAAGCAGGGGCUCUUUAUGACCUUGCGCUAAUAGAUGAGCCUAAGUCGGAUUAGCUAGUUGGUGGGGUAAAGGCCUACCAAGGCGACGAUCUGUAGCGGGUCUGAGAGGAUGAUCCGCCACACUGGGACUGAGACACGGCCCAGACUCCUACGGGAGGCAGCAGUGGGGAAUAUUGGACAAUGGGGGGAACCCUGAUCCAGCCAUGCCGCGUGUGUGAAGAAGGCCUUUUGGUUGUAAAGCACUUUAAGUGGGGAGGAGGCUUACCUGGUUAAUACCUGGGCUAAGUGGACGUUACCCACAGAAUAAGCACCGGCUAACUCUGUGCCAGCAGCCGCGGUAAUACAGAGGGUGCGAGCGUUAAUCGGAUUUACUGGGCGUAAAGCGCGCGUAGGUGGUUAAUUAAGUCAAAAUGUGAAAUCCCCGAGCUUAACUUGGGGAAUUGCAUUCGAUACUGGUUAGCUAGAGUAUGGG